AAACGCUUGAAGUCAGUCGCGUUAGCUAGAACUCAGCCUCGCUCUUGCGUGGUGUACUUUCUGGUUGACGGGUCAGCAUCAAUUUUGACUGCUGGAAAAAGGCCUUGGGAAUGUGGCAGCUUCGGCUGUGUUAUAGCCCUUGGUCACAUACAGCGGUUGGGAUUGAGGAACUCAGCACGCCGCAAGGCCGGGUUUCGACCACGUUCGUGCUUAGGAUGCUGGCAUAAUGGCUUUAAGCGA
This 240-nucleotide ribosomal RNA is filed under the name Vascellum sp. RNAcentral describes it as "partial large subunit ribosomal RNA". Lineage: Eukaryota; Fungi; Basidiomycota; Agaricomycetes; Agaricales; Lycoperdaceae. The record is from RNAcentral.